UGCAUCUGUUGCCUAGAGGCCGAAGGCAGUGGACUCAUAAUCCACCAUCUGUAAAGACGUCGCUGGUUCGAAUCCAGCCAGAUGCAU
This 87-nucleotide transfer RNA is filed under the name Compsopogon caeruleus. RNAcentral's name for it is "tRNA-Met". It matches the Rfam family "tRNA". Rfam says of the family: Transfer RNA (tRNA) molecules are approximately 80 nucleotides in length. The record is from RNAcentral. Lineage: Eukaryota; Rhodophyta; Compsopogonophyceae; Compsopogonales; Compsopogonaceae.